This 557-nucleotide ribosomal RNA is filed under the name Clostridioides difficile. RNAcentral's name for it is "bacterial LSU rRNA". It matches the Rfam family "Bacterial large subunit ribosomal RNA", at positions 2366 to 2925 of the family's 2925-position model. The record is from RNAcentral. Lineage: Bacteria; Bacillati; Bacillota; Clostridia; Peptostreptococcales; Peptostreptococcaceae.
AGCUUGAUUGCAAGACAUACAGGUCGAGCAAGGAUGAAAAUCGGACUUAGUGAUCCGGUGGUUCUGCGUGGAAGGGCCAUCGCUCAACGGAUAAAAGCUACCCUGGGGAUAACAGGCUUAUCUCCCCCAAGAGUCCACAUCGACGGGGAGGUUUGGCACCUCGAUGUCGGCUCAUCACAUCCUGGGGCAGUAGUAGGUCCCAAGGGUUGGGCAGUUCGCCCAUUAAAGGGGUACGCGAGCUGGGUUCAGAACGUCGUGAGACAGUUCGGUCCCUAUCCGUCGCAGGCGUAGGAAAGUUGAGAAGACCUGUCCUUAGUACGAGAGGACCGGGAUGGACGUACCUCUGGUGUACCAGUUGUUCUGCCAAGGGCAUGGCUGGGUAGCUGUGUACGGAAUGGAUAAGCGCUGAAAGCAUCUAAGCGCGAAGCCAACUUCAAGAUAAGAUUUCCCACCGCAAGGGUAAGACCCCAGAAAGACUAUCUGGUUGAUAGGUCGAAGGUGUAAGUGCAGCAAUGUAUUUAGCUUAUCGAUACUAAUAGGUCGAGGACUUGACCAAU